This 253-nucleotide ribosomal RNA is filed under the name uncultured bacterium. RNAcentral's name for it is "partial 16S ribosomal RNA". It matches the Rfam family "Bacterial small subunit ribosomal RNA", at positions 524 to 776 of the family's 1533-position model. The record is from RNAcentral.
UACGAAGGGGACUAGCGUUGUUCGGAAUCACUGGGCGUAAAGCGCACGUAGGCGGAUGUGUCAGUCAGGGGUGAAAUCCCGGGGCUCAACCUCGGAACUGCCUUUGAUACAGCACGUCUCGAGUCCGGAAGAGGUGGGUGGAAUUCCUAGUGUAGAGGUGAAAUUCGUAGAUAUUCGGAAGAACACCAGUGGCGAAGGCGGCUCACUGGUCCGGUACUGACGCUGAGGUGCGAAAGCGUGGGGAGCAAACGGG